Molecule: ribosomal RNA, 1028 nt
Filed under: uncultured bacterium
Lineage: Bacteria
Description: bacterial SSU rRNA
Rfam family: Bacterial small subunit ribosomal RNA
Source: RNAcentral
AGUCGAGAAUUUUUCUCAAUGGGGCAACUGAAGAGCGACGCCGCGUGGAGAUGAAGCUUUCGGGUGUAAACUCUGUCAUUUGGGACAAGGUGCAUCGAUUAACUGUCGAUGCAUUGAUAGUACCAGAAGAGAAGAGACGGCUAACUCUGUGCCAGCAGCCGCGGUAAUACAGAGGUCUCAAGCGUGUUCGGAUUCAUUGGGCGUAAAGGGUGCGUAGGUGGCGCCGUAAGUCAGGUGUGAAAUUUCGGAGCUCAACUCCGAGACUGCAUUUGAUACUGCGGUGCUUGAGGACUGGAGAGGAGACUGGAAUUCACGGUGUAGCAGUGAAAUGCGUAGAUAUCGUGAGGAAGACCAGUGGCGAAGGCGGGUCUCUGGACAGUUCCUGACACUGAGGCACGAAGGCUAGGGGAGCAAACGGGAUUAGAUACCCCGGUAGUCCUAGCAGUAAACGGUGCACGUUUGGUGUGGGAGGAUUCGACCCCUUCUGCGCCGGAGCUAACGCGUUAAACGUGCCGCCUGGGGAGUACGGUCGCAAGAUUAAAACUCAAAGAAAUUGACGGGGGCCCGCACAAGCGGUGGAGUAUGUGGCUUAAUUCGACGCAACGCGAAGAACCUUACCUGGCCUUGACAUGCAUCUCUAAGUUGGUGAAAGCCAGCGACUCCCGAAAGGGAGAAUUUGCACAGGUGCUGCAUGGCUGUCGUCAGCUCGUGUCGUGAGAUGUUGGGUUAAGUCCCGCAACGAGCGCAACCCCUGUGAACUGUCGCCACCCUCUUUAUUGAGGAGCACUCUGUUCAGACUGCCCUGUGAAACGGGGAGGAAGGUGGGGACGACGUCAAGUCAGUAUGGCCCUUACGGCCAGGGCUGCACACGUACUACAAUGCUCAGUACAGAACGAUCCGAGACCGCGAGGUGGAGGAAAUCUAGUAAAACUGAGCCCAGUUCGGAUUGGAGGCUGCAACUCGCCUCCAUGAAGCCGGAAUCGCUAGUAAUGGCGCAUCAGCUACGGCGCGGUGAAUACGUUCCCGGG